AUUGAACGCUGGCGGCAGGCCUAACACAUGCAAGUCGAGCGAGUGGCGGACGGGUGAGUAAUGUAUGGGGACUGCCCGAUAGAGGGGGAUAACUACUGGAAAAGGGGGCUAAUAACGCAUACUAUCGGAUAACCCAUAUGGGAUUAGCUAGUAGGUGGGGUAAUGGCUCACGUAGGCGACGACCGCUAGCUGGGCUGAGAGGAUGAAAAGCCAAACUGGGACUGAGACACGGCCCAGACUCCACCGGAGGCAGCAGUGGGGAAUAUUGCACAAUGGGCGCAAGCCUGAGGCAGCAAUGCCGCGUGUAUGAAGAAGGCCUUAGGGUUGUAAAGUACUUUCAGCGGGGAGGCGUUACCCGCAGAAGAAGCACCGGCUAACUCCGUGCCAGCAGCCGCGGUAAUAC
Molecule: ribosomal RNA, 403 nt
Filed under: uncultured bacterium
Lineage: Bacteria
Description: partial 16S ribosomal RNA
Rfam family: Bacterial small subunit ribosomal RNA
Source: RNAcentral